UUUCGGAUCGUAAAACUCUGUUGUUAGGGAAGAACAAGUACCGGAGUAACUGCCGGUACCUUGACGGUACCUAACCAGAAAGCCACGGCUAACUACGUGCCAGCAGCCGCGGUAAUACGUAGGUGGCAAGCGUUGUCCGGAAUUAUUGGGCGUAAAGCGCGCGCAGGCGGUUCCUUAAGUCUGAUGUGAAAGCCCCCGGCUCAACCGGGGAGGGUCAUUGGAAACUGGGGAACUUGAGUGCAGAAGAGAAGAGUGGAAUUCCACGUGUAGCGGUGAAAUGCGUAGAGAAUGUGGAGGAACACCAGUGGCGAAGGCGACUCUUUGGUCUGUAACUGACGCUGAGGCGCGAAAGCGUGGGGAGCAAACAACGAUUAGUAUGACC
RNAcentral lists this ribosomal RNA (382 nucleotides) under uncultured Bacillota bacterium. RNAcentral's name for it is "bacterial SSU rRNA". It matches the Rfam family "Bacterial small subunit ribosomal RNA", at positions 416 to 786 of the family's 1533-position model. Lineage: Bacteria; Bacillati; Bacillota. The record is from RNAcentral.